UGGACGGUCAUAGUAGAUUGAGUAGACAGUGGAUGGGUGUCACGUUUAGAGCAACAGAAAGAGAAAGUGAGCAUUGGUGGACAUUGUACAGGUAGCAGCGACGAGGUGUGUCGACGAACGGGCGACGAAUGUCGAGAUUUCUGAGUCUUCGGAGGAGAUGCGCGUCCCAGGGGACCGCGGGGCAAUGAGUAACGACGAGUCGGCCGGAACGCGGGUCAUGAGUAACGCAAAAUGAGAAGAUCGUUUAACGCCGCGGUGGAGGCCCGAACAACGGACUGCCUCGAAGUCACGAGACGUCUGCACAAAAGCGUGACGGAGAUCGUUAAGAAAUUGGAUGAGCAAAAGAAUCGUGCCCUGACAGUAAGUGACAUAUUUCUUUCAUCUGGAAAAAUUCAGCGUAUGAAACUUAAGGAUUAUUGCGAGAGACUGAUAUUGAAAGACCCUAUUGGAAAUGUACAUAAAAUAGAGGAACUACUCUGGAGAAAGGCCUUCUACGAUGUUGUGUACACAGCUAAGAAGUUACGAAAGAGUAACACCUGGAAUGAUAUGGAAAAAACACUGCUUUCAAUCCAUUUGGCAGUGGGUGUGGGAUAUUAUCAUCAUCUGAUAAUGAGAUUGCAAACUGAAUACGAUCUAGAUCUUGUUGGUGUUGUUGAUUUUGCUUUCAUUCAAAAUGAAAGUAUUUCAUCAUAUGCAAGAACUAAGACAGGGCAAUUUAAAACUCAUACCAAGGAGCUCAAACAGUGUGUUAUGCGCUUGAUCCAUCGAAGCUUAGUAUGCCUUGGAGACUUGAGUAGGUACAAAUUAGAAUUAAAUUCAAACUGGGAUCCAAUGAUAGCAAACAGGUAUUAUAAGAUGGCUAUAGCCAUUGAUCCAAACAUUGGUAUGCCUCACAAUCAGCUUGGUACUAUAGCAGGCAAUAAAAAUUAUGGAUUAGAUGCAGUUUAUCAUUACAUGAGAAGCGUUUUGUGUUCUGAACCAUUUGAAGGAGCAGAAGGAAAUUUAAAGAAAAUUGUAAUAACUCAGUCGACCUAUACAGAUGAAAACAAUUCUGUCCAUCAUUGUGUAUCACGAUUGUUUUCUUUGUUACGUUUAUGGGAUUAUGAAAAUCCAAAUUCUGAUAAAAUAAAUCAAGAAUGCCAGGAUCUUUUAACCGAUAUAGAGAAGUGUUUAAAAAUGGAUCAAAUCGAGCCAAAUAAUACAAAUUCUCUCGAAAAUACGGAUAACAUAGAAACAUAUCUUCAAAAUUGUAAAAACAGACCAACGCUUUAUUUAACAGAUGAUAUGGUAUUUAAAAUCGUGACAAUAUGCUUAAUGUCAAUUUCUAGAUUAAAGAAUAAAGAAUCCAACGAAGUACAAGGCGUCGUUGCUAUAACUUUAGCAAUACUAUCGCAAUUGUUAGAGUUUAUAAUAAGAAAACUGCAAAAAAUGAUCAUAGAAAUGGCUGUGUCUGGUGAAGAAGCUGUGAAGGGAAAUACUUGUUCCAAGUUAAAAAAUGCACAGGAAAAUCAAGCGUUAUCUGAAUCAGGAGACAACGGAAAUCACGUGAAAGAAAAAGACUCUAUUUUUAGUAAAGACAAUAAUGUACUCAAUUUAGAUGAGACUAACAAAGUUAAGUCAUCAGAUAACGGAAUCGCAAACAAAUCAGGUCCCAAAAAAACUCGCAAUAAAUCGAAAAGUCUUCUCAGCAAGCUUCGUAGACGGAAAAGGAGAACUAGCUCCGAUUCAGAUGCGAGCGACGUAGAUCAGUCAACAUUAGCGUCGUCCAGUGACGAAAUCAACUCUGACGUGUCUGAAACGGAGGACGACGCAUUAAGUGAGGGAAACGAUGCUUUAUCGGACGAUAAUACAGAUGACGAAGAACUAUCUCCAGAAAAUAAGAUUCAGAUUAUCAAAAAUGUAGUGCAGCCAGCGAAAAAAGAAAUGAACGGCCAUGGCAGCGAUAUUGCCAACAAAAUGGAGGAUUGUGAUAAGAACGGUAUCAACCAUUUGGUUAACGGGCAACAGCACGCGACUAAUCAGCAGACAGGUUCGAAAGCAUUAAGUGAUAAAGAUUCUGUAAUAAGUUCUGUGAGCAGCAGUGUUGUGACCAUCACGAAUACUGACUCGUCUAGUACCUUCGAGGAAGGCAAUGAUCGUUUAUGCAAUGCAGACAACAUCUUUUGUAUGGCACAGUUGAAAAAGCAAAGUUUAAAAUCGGAUGACAUUUUGAAAAUAUUGAUUGACAAGGAGAUCCUUGUGUCUAUUAAAGUGUGCUGCGAUUGGCUUCGAAGUAACCCUGACAUCGUUCGGAUAUGCGCUAAGAGUUCACGAACAUUAUUGAAACGUAUUACGAUCCUGUUAAAUCUAAUCAAUAUGGAUAUUGAAACUCUUGUGCAAGAAAGCAAAGAUUCCUCAAUUUUAUCCAGCGUGAAGAAACUGAAAGAGUACACGAAGAUCGUACCUCUACCAGAAGACAUUGAUCUUCGGGGGUUAAAUUUACUGGAAAAUACUCAUAAAGCUCUUAAUUGGGAAAUACUUCGUAAACACAAAAUGAACAAGCGGGAAGAAACACUGCUGAGAGUAUUGAAGCUAAUCGAAUUCGGACACCAUCUCUGUUCUGUUGAGAAUUCAAAAGUACAGUACGAUCAGACUCAGGGAUUAUUUAUGGUGACGGACGAAAACUCCUCAAAUGCUCCAAAGGUAAUAGGUUUAGACGAGAAAAAUUUCGGGCCGGAACAUUCGAAACAGAAACUUAUGAAACACAUGGGCAAAUUAUGGCUGAAUGCAUGGCUCAAUGCCGAGGUUCGAGCUUUAGAGAGUCAAGUACAAUCUCGAUUGAUGUCGCCAUAUCUUGUUCCCGAUCACAAAGCUUUAUCCAAGCAUACGCCGGCUCUUAAACGCUUAGUGGAAGCAAAAAUAUUUGUUGUGGUGAUUCCCUCAGUUGUUGUUUCUGCUCUGGAUGAGGUAAAACGUGUAAGCGCUCAGGCAAGAGAAGCGACACGAUGGCUGGAGGUGCAACUGAGGUGUGGCUCAAGAUUCUUACGGGCGCAGAGACCACACGAACGUUUGGCGCCGCCAUUAAUAACAGAACCAAAACCGAAGGACAAGGAAGCAUGGUUAUUUUUCCAGAUAAUAGAGUGUUGUUACUAUUUGACUCAGGAAGCGAAGGUUGGUUUUACUGGUGACGGAGAGGUACCUGUUGUGACCCUCCUGACUGGUUGUAAGCCAGACGACAGAAGAGCUUUGGAUUUUAGUCCUGAUGGAUUAGCAGAUAGUGCAGGUGUUAAUCUGGAGCAUAUAGAAUUGUUUUAUGUAAAGUGGAAAUCGUCAAUCAAGAGCUACGGUUGAACGAGAUAUAUCACUUCUGCGUGAUUAUUUGUCGCCAGUCUCAUUCAGAGAUAUCUAUCGCUCGGGUGCUGCAUAACCGGAUUUUCAGCCGAUUAAAGAGCAAACAUGGCAAGAGGGUUGGAAACCCGCAUAUGAAAAUCGACAAAGUACCGCUAUUCGGUGAUCGGUGCCGAUAAAGAAUGUCAUUUUCCGCAGUAGAAUUUUAACCCUAUCAUCCAGUUGGUGAGUCGCAGCUGUUUGCAGAUGUAAAUUAACACAUUUUGAAGAACAUAAGGCAUGAAAUUAAAUGAGUAUUACAUAUUCACGUUGAAAUAAUCGAGAACUGUCCACAUUCGG
RNA transcript from Mycetomoellerius zeteki, 3666 nucleotides. It is a transcript of the gene named Smg5 nonsense mediated mRNA decay factor, with no coding region annotated. The transcript is spliced from 9 exons. Lineage: Eukaryota; Metazoa; Arthropoda; Insecta; Hymenoptera; Formicidae. The record is from RefSeq and is a predicted model, not a curated record.